CACAAAGUUUGUGGCCACAAAAGAAAGGGUGGGAUUGUUUUUGGGGUAAUGGUCCCAAGCACCUUUUCUAGUUUUACAGACAAUAACUUUUGGAAAGGUGUAUGGAUCUCUCUGAAAUUAAACCACAAGUUUCCAUACCACAAAGGGAUGGUAAGAAUUAGCUUUUAGGGGUAAUGACUCAAACCGUUUAGGAAUUAGGGGCAAAAAAGGGGGAAACAAGGG
This 222-nucleotide long non-coding RNA is filed under the name Mytilus galloprovincialis (Mediterranean mussel). The record is from RNAcentral. Lineage: Eukaryota; Metazoa; Mollusca; Bivalvia; Mytilida; Mytilidae.